CCUACGGGAGGCAGCAGUAGGGAAUAUUGCUCAAUGGGGGAAACCCUGAAGCAGCAACGCCGCGUGGAGGAUGAAGGUUUUCGGAUUGUAAACUCCUUUUGUUAGAGAAGAUAAUGACGGUAUCUAACGAAUAAGCACCGGCUAACUCCGUGCCAGCAGCCGCGGUAAUACGGAGGGUGCAAGCGUUACUCGGAAUCACUGGGCGGAAAGAGCGCGUAGGCGGGAUAGCAAGUCAGAUGUGAAAUCCUAUGGCUUAACCAUAGAACUGCAUUUGAAACUGUUAUUCUAGAGUAUGGGAGAGGUAGGUGGAAUUCUUGGUGUAGGGGUAAAAUCCGUAGAGAUCAAGAGGAAUACGCAUUGCGAAGGCGACCUGCUAGAACAUAACUGACGCUGAUGCGCGAAAGCGUGGGGAGCAAACAGGAUUAGAUACCCUAGUAGUC
This 440-nucleotide ribosomal RNA is filed under the name uncultured bacterium. Its description in RNAcentral is "partial 16S ribosomal RNA". It matches the Rfam family "Bacterial small subunit ribosomal RNA", at positions 338 to 795 of the family's 1533-position model. The record is from RNAcentral.